UUUGUAUAAAACAGGGAUAUUAAUGACUACUGCUGACAAACAGUACAGAAAAAUACCACUACUGUGUAAAAAAAAGCAAACAAGAUCAAGCCACUUUGGCUAUGAUAAAUGCAGAUAGCAAAGUAUAAAAUAAAAAAGGUUCUUUCACAGUGCUAUAUAGCUGUUUGUCCAAUGUUUAUUUUUUACAAUAAUAUUUACUAUAAAUUAUUGUGUUGUUGAUCAUGACAACAUAUUGAAGUAUCAAUGUUGGAAAUGAAUCUCCCCCCAUAAGGAGAAGAUUAGUCACUAUAGAUGCAAGCACACCAUUUUGAACAAACACAGACAUCAUCCACGAAUAUGACUAAACAAAAAGAGAAACCACUUUCAGUGUUUGGUUGCAUUAUUUGGGAUAACUAAGUGCUUUUUUACUCUACAUUUAAAGGAUGCAAAGUUACAGGAUGAUGGAAACAGGCCACAGGAAGUCAUGUAAAAGUUGGCAAACUUAUUUGUAUGUGAGCACAGGUGAUCUACCAUAUAUGAAUAGUCUUCAUGGUGUGAAAUCGGAAAGUGGAAGGUGAGGGAAUCAAGUUCUUCUGAGCACUUUCCCAUGGAGUAAGCAGUAGCAGACAAAGAUUAGUUACCAAUUUAAUUUCAUCAGUGUUUUUGUAAUUAUUUAGUUACAUUUUUAUUAGUCAUUUGAAACAGGCUAUAAUAUGAUGUUAGCCAAGUGGAUUGAUAAAUAGAUAAAGAAUUUUAUUUCAACUAACAACAAAUUAACUUGUUUUAGUAUAUAUGUUUUAUAAUAUUAAUGAAUGAAUAUAAUUUUGUUUGCAUUAUAGAAUGUAGUAAACAAUAAGAUAUACCCUUGUAUAAGUAAAAUAAGGUAAUGUUAUUGCUGAAAGCACUCUUUUCAAGAUAACCUUAGGAUAAUAGAAAUGUUUUUACUUUUGAACUAAUUUUAAUACAUUAUUUAAUGAAUAAUAUAAAUACAUAGCAGUCUUUUUAGAAGCAAUGUACAGUAUGAUUACAUACACAUUCGAGCAUUUUAACACUUCCCUAAAUUCGACUAGGUGAGAAUAAAUUGCAUUAAGUCUGCCUCGUACACAUAUCUUGUACUAAAGAAUAAAUAAAUAAAGAACUAUUUUAUAUUAAUUCACAGAAUUAAUUCCUGUCUUAAUUAAUAUUAAUUUGAACAAAAUGACUUUUAUUGUAGAAUAAAAACAAUUAUGAGUUUUCCUUUUGCAAUCAACUAUUAGACAUCCUGUAGAUUGAAGGCCUAGAAUUUAAUAGCAGACAGAAAUCUGUACUGAACAAUAUUUUUCUUGUAAAGUAUGAUAUAAAAAGAGAUCAUGCAUCUAAUUUUAAUGAAUGAAAUAUUCAAAGCUUUAAAUAAAAAUAAAUAGACAAUGACUGAUUCACUACACACAAUGAGUGGAAUUUAGAAGAAGGUAAUGUGUACACUUUCACAGGUUAAUGUCAUAAAUAAAUUUAAACAAAUGCCAAUUUCCACAUUGAA
This is a long non-coding RNA of Galleria mellonella (greater wax moth), 1495 nucleotides long. RefSeq lists it as uncharacterized. The record is from RefSeq and is a predicted model, not a curated record. Lineage: Eukaryota; Metazoa; Arthropoda; Insecta; Lepidoptera; Pyralidae. The transcript has 3 exons.